UAGAGAAAUAAAGACGUGGGGUUGGGGCGAGCAUGGGCAGCUUGGCUUGGGUGAUGCCUGUGACCAAACAAGUCCACUCACAGUAAGUCUUGGCUGUGAAUUGAAUGAGGCAGAAUCAAUCAGAGUUUUCUGUGGGAGUGGCUUCACAUUUGCUUUCUAAACCGCCAAUGGCAGUUCCAAGAUAUAUCCAUUUCGGUGCAGCUGAUAUUUUAGAAUCAGGCUCGAUUGCGCCAAAAACAUUUUGUUCAAGUGCACUGAAGAUUUGAACCUCAUUUGUUUCUUUUCUCCAAGCAAGAAUUGAUCUGUACAACAGUACAAGAGAUCGUGAAAGAGAAAUCUCUUUAUUUUAUGUAUAUGAAGCUUCCUCUGUAUCUUCAACUCUUACGUAUAAUGGAUUCAUCCUGAGGAAAGUUUUGGAAUGUA
Neltuma alba is the source of this 423-nucleotide long non-coding RNA. RefSeq lists it as uncharacterized. The record is from RefSeq and is a predicted model, not a curated record. The transcript has 2 exons. Lineage: Eukaryota; Viridiplantae; Streptophyta; Magnoliopsida; Fabales; Fabaceae.